UUUACCCGCCGGAAUUAAGCAUAUUAUUAAGCGGAGGAAAAGAAACUAACAAGGAUUCCCCCAGUAACGGCGAGUGAAGCGGGAACAGCUCAAUCCGAAAAUCCCCGGCCUUGUGCCGUGGGAAUUGUGGUCUAGAGGUGCGUAUCUGCAGGUAGCGCUGGCGCGUAAAUGGUUGUUGAGACAGCCUUCCGAAGAACGUAAUAGACGUGUUCCGUGCCGGCUGACUCCUGUUACAGUGCGCAUCCUGAGAGUCGUGUUGCUUGGGACUGCAGCACAAAGUGGGAGGUAAUAUCCUUCUAAAGCUAAAUAUUUGCCGGAGACCGAUAGCGAACAAGUACCGUGAGGGAAAGAUGAAAAGAACUUUGAGAAGAAAGUGAAAAGUACGUGAAAUCGUUAAGGGUGAAGCGAGAUGCUCCUAUAGCUCCUGCUGCCGUUUCCUUGGUUACCUCUGGUUCCUUGGUCAAACGGCUUUAGGGCGUUCUGGUGGCUUCCGGGUGCCGCAAACUGGCUUUGCUCAGGGAAGUUCCCGUCUUGUCGGGGAUGAAUGGGCUUGGUCGAUACGGUGCCCUGGGAGUGAGGCAACGAGGCUGAUUCUUCCUGCCGUUGUGGUGUAGUCUGGUCUUUCUAGGAUGCUUUGUCAUGUUGGAUUGGCUGGGUUGCAUUGUGCGUCGGGCUGUGAGCUUCCAAGACCAGGGCUUUUAUGGAGCGUCCCGACCCGUCUUGAAACACGGACCAAGGAGUCUAACAUGAGUGCGAGUAUUAGGGUGGUAAACCCCGAUGCAUAGAGAAAUCAAGAUGAGGGACUCCGUUAAGGACGCACCUCAGGCUGCACCUGAUCUUUUGUGAAGAGUCUAGCAAGAGCAUUUAUGUUGGGACCCGAAAGAUGGUGAACUAUGCUUGUGCAGGAUGAAGCCAGGAGAAACCCUGGUGGAAGUCCGUAGAGAUACUGACAUGCAAAUCGUUCGUCUGACAUGAGUAUAGGGGCGAAAGACUAAUCGAACCAUCUAGUAGCUGGUUUACGCCGAAGUUUCCCUCAGGAUAGCUGUGACUCGUGUGUCUCAUCAGGUAAAGCGAAUGAUUAGAGGAUUUGGGAAAGAAACUUUCUCGGCCUAUUCUCAAACUUUAAAUGGGUGAGAAGUCUUGGUUACUUAACUGAACCGGGGCAUUGGAACUGAGUUAUUAGUGGGCCAUUUUUGGUAAGCAGAACUGGCGAUGCGGGAUGAACCGGAAGCUUGGAUAAGGUGCCUAAGUUGUGGCUCAUUCAGAUACCAUAAAAGGUGUUGGUUGAUGAAGACAGCAGGACGGUGGUCAUGGAAGUCGAAAUCCGCUAAGGAGUGUGUAACAACUCACCUGCCGAAUCAACUAGCCCUGAAAAUGGAUGGCGCUCAAGCCGCAUACCGAGACCAGCCGUUUGAGCAAAUGCGAAGCUCAAACGAGUAGGCGUACGUGCUGGUAGCUCCGAAGCAGUGGGCGUGAGCCCUAGUGAAGCUGCCAGUAGUGCAGAUCUUGGUGUUAGUAGCAAAUAUUCAAAUGAAAACUUUGAAGACCGAAGUGGAGAAAGGUUUCACGUGAAGUUUAUUGCGACGUGAGUGACUCGGUCCUAAGCCAAACGGUAGUUCGUUUGCAAGUAGCCGAUUUAUCGGCUCGACUGGCGAAAGGGAAACUGGUUAAUAUUCCAGUAGUUGGAUGAAGAUCUUAGCUGCAAAGCAUUCAAAGCUGGGAACGCCGGCUUCGGCUCGGGAUAGAGUUUUCUUUUCUAUUUGACACUGGUGCCGCCUCUGAAAUCGAAUUAAUCGGAGAGAGAGGGGAUACCAUGGCAAAGCGGGAGACCUUAUCUCCCGUCCCGUGCGCCGAGGACGGUCCGUGAAAACCCAGUGGCGUGUUCGAUCUGACUCCAAGCCGUACUCAUAACCGCAUCAGGUCUCCAAGGUUAACAGCCUCUGGUCGAUAGAACAAUGUAGGUAAGGGAAGUCGGCAAAUUAGGUCCGUAACUUCGGGAAAAGGACUGGCUCUUAGGGCUGGAUGUUUGAGGCUCAGGCCACGAAGUACUGUUAACGAACGAGACUGGCUAGACUAUCUUCGGAUGGUCAGGCCGGGCUCUGUUUGUGGACGUAUGGAGGGUCCGAGGUUGCCUUCGGGCGUUCUCUGCAUGCUUAACAGCCAACUGAGAACUGGCGCGGACAAGGGGAAUCCGACUAGAUAAUUAAACUAAAGCAUUCUGAUGGUCGGAAACGAUGUUGACAGAAUGUGAUUUCUGCCCAGUGCUCUGAAUGUCAAUAGGAUGAGAUUCCAUAAAGCGCGGGUAAACGGCGGGAGUAACUAUGACUCUCUUAAGGUAGCCAAAUGCCUCGUCAUCUAAUUAGUGACGCGCAUGAAUGGAUCAACGAGAUUCCCACUGUCCCUACUUACUAUCUAGCGAAACCACAGCCAAGGGAACGGGCUUGGACGUAACGGCGGGGAAAGAAGACCCUGUUGAGCUUGACUCUAGUCAGACAUUGUGAAAUGACUUGAAAGGUGUAGACUAAGUGGGAGUUGUAAGACGGCCGUGAAAUACCACUACUUUUAAUGUUGUUUUACUUAUUAGCUUAGUAACAAUCUGGGUUUAACCGCCCUGUUUCUAGCAUUAAACGUGGAAUACCGCGUGAUGUUCGGCUAAGACACUGUCUGGUGGGGAGUUUGGCUGGGGCGGCACAUCUGUUAAACAAUAACACAGGUGUCCUAAGAUCAGCUCAGUGAGAACAGAAAUCUCACGUGGCGCAUAAGAGCAAAUGCUGGUUUGACCUGUAUUUUCAGUAUGAAUACGGGCUUCGAAAGAAUGGUCUAGCGAUCCUUUAGUCAGUCGGAUAUUGACGCUAGAGGUGUCAGAAAAGUUACCACAGGGAUAACUGGCUUGUGGCAGCCAAGCGUUCAUAGCGACGUUGCUUUUUGAUUCUUCGAUGUCGGCUCUUCCUAUCCCUAAGUCGCAUAAGGCUUAAAAGGUAAGAUUGUUCACCUACUAACAGGGAACGUGAGCUGGGUUUAGACCGUCGCGAGACAGGUUAGUUUUAUCCUACUGUUACAUCAUUUAACCAAUAGCAAGUCAAUUCAGUACGAGAGGAACCAUUGGCUCAGAUGACCGGUAAAUUCUGUUGAUCGACAGGUCAUUGCAGAGAAGCUGCCAUCUGUAGGAUAACGGCUGAACGCCUCUAAGUCAGAAA
This 3197-nucleotide ribosomal RNA is filed under the name Sticholonche-like environmental clone KW16. RNAcentral describes it as "eukaryotic LSU rRNA". It matches the Rfam family "Eukaryotic large subunit ribosomal RNA". Lineage: Eukaryota; Sticholonchida. The record is from RNAcentral.